This is a long non-coding RNA of Pieris napi, 2492 nucleotides long. RefSeq lists it as uncharacterized. The record is from RefSeq and is a predicted model, not a curated record. The transcript has 6 exons. NCBI's taxonomy places the organism in Eukaryota, Metazoa, Arthropoda, Insecta, Lepidoptera, Pieridae.
AGCCUAGAAUGAUCGCCGGCGCAGUGACGCGCGGCGCGGCCCGCGGUCGUCAGUCCGUCUCGCACUCUCACGGCAGACGCACGCUUGCUUACUGCGCGAACAUAAAUUAAAGCACCGCAACCAUUUCGUUCUGCCCACUGGUUAAAUGUGAGCCCAAACUAAUUCCAGUUUAUAAACUUGAUUAUCCACCCGGCUGGACACCACCACAGGAUAUUGGCCGACCGUCUCGUGAAGAUGUCGUGUACCAGAUGCAGCAACUCUUCCGCAGUAGCCUUAUACCCGUCAACUCCCGAACGUUGCGAAGUAAUGGUUUUUUCCUUCUACCAACACGCCGUUUAGUCUGGAUUUUUCCCAUUGUAAUCAAUUGAAGGACUGUGGUAGCAACACGUGGCCCAGGAUAUUGGCCGACCGUCUCGUGAAGAUGUCGUGUACCAGAUGCAGCAACUCUUCCGCAGUAGCCCUGCCCUAUACCCGUCAACUCCCGAACGUUGCGAAGUAAUGGUUUUUUCCUUCUACCAACACGCCGUUUAGUCUGGAUUUUUCCCACUAUAAUUAAUAAUUGAAGGCUUGUGGUAGCAACACAACAGUGUACCUUUAACGCAGGCAGCAUUUCCUCGCUGUAUUGCGAUACUUAUUGAGCGAGGAAAGCACCAGCUCUGGAGUCACCAGUACAAUCUACCAGGCGCCAACAUAAAUCAUUAAUUAGCACGUAUGCACUUGAUUUAGCAAUUAAAUAAUGUUAAGGACAUUUAAACUUUCAUAGUUAAUGGUAAAUUCAUAAUGUGUAUGUGAAUGAAAGUCUACUUCAAUUGUUUUUUUGUGACUUAAAGAAAGAAAGUCGGCCCAAACGUUAUUCUUAGCUGCUAUUCUUGCUUCAAAACGUAGUUUUGAAACUUUUAAGACUGACAAGGUAUGAAUAUUAUAUGAGUGGUAAUAGAGCAGUAAAAUUACAUACCUACAUUAGUGGAAUCCGUAAUGUAGAAGGUAAAAGAAGCAAACAUUUCAUUUCAGAUUUAAUCAAAAAACAAAAAUAGUGGUACAUUUAGAUCAAUGAAUUAUAGAAAAUCUGCAGCCAUAUAAAAAUGCAAGUUAAUUUUCAAAAUGACAUAAUAAGGGAUGAGAUCAGAAAAUAGGGUAAAGAACAGCAUUACAAUUUUUUAUUCAGAGUUUUAUUGAAUAAUUGUGAUCAGCGGCCAUAGGAACAUCACUGUCUGAAGAGUGGAUGGAAAUGGAAUCAGAUUCUUUUUCACUAUCACUAGCCGUAGAUAUAAUUUUUAUUUUUUAUAUUGAUACUAUUUCGGAUGCAGGUGGGUGAAAUUUGACACUUAAUUAAUUAUGAAUUAAUUAUUGAAUUAUGACUCUUCCCCGGGGUGAAAUUUUUUUCGAAGUACUGGCCGCUGAUAUACCUUCUUUUGUAAUUCUUGUUACAGUUCUCUCUGACACACCUGCAAUUAAAUAAGGAAAAAUUAAAAAUAAUAGUAACUUAUUAUAUUAGUACUAAUAUACUUUAUUGACAAUCUUGUUAAGUUAUAUUUUAUCUUAUUUCUAUUUAGUUAUUAACGAAAAUUAGUUAAAGCAAAUGUAAAUAUUAUCUUAUUAUUUCCUAUUAGACACCGGACAGAGCAGCUAGAAGAGAGAAAUAUCAAGGUUAAAUUAAGUAUUUAAAUUUUAAACGUUACGUCAAAUGUCAGAUGAUGUUUGUAUAGAAAGUGUCGUCUUUGUAAGAUACACGUUAUAAUUCCAAUAGAUUUCGCUGUAUUUGUCGUCAUUAUUGAUUUAGACAGUUGGGAUGAGGAAUAUUACUAGAACUGUCAAAGUGCAAAUAGACUAGUGAAAAUUUGUGACAAUUGAAACAGUUAAGAUAGAUCCCAGGUGGACCGUUACAUCAUUUGGCCUAAAUAGAAAAACGUUUGAUAUACUUUUUACCUAAUAUCAAGUAGAUAUUCAAGAAAUUUUUUUUUAAGUCCUUACAUUUUGACACUAAAUUGUUUUUGUAAAUAAACUAGCUUUUUCCUGUCCCGCUUCGCUAUGGCAUAUUGUGAUUGCAUGGAUGAGAAAUAAAACAAAGAAAACAUUUCAUAUAAGUUUCAUUUUGCAACUGUGGAAAAAAUAAUGAAAAAAUAAAAAAACAAAAAUGAUAAAAAAACAGAUAAAAACAAUCCUUGAUGCGGAUUAUAUAUCGUGCUAAAAAUUCAGCUCCAUCGGUGCAGAACUUUUUGAGUUUUGAAGCGUACACAAACCAACAUCAAAUUUUUAUAGUUUUAGCGAAUAUAAUGUGUGUUAGUAAUUGGUUUCUUCUUAUACAAUUUUACAUUUUUGUAAUUAUCUAUCUGAACCAAUUCGACUUCAGGAGAAGAAAAGUACAAAUUCUUAAAAAAACUAGCAAUGCACAAGCAGUGGCAGUGAAUGUUUGUUGUGUUUAAUACGAUUAAUUUAAGUCAAUUCAAAAUCAUUAAUUCAUAUACGUAACACAAUGUACACUUAUGAACGUC